Molecule: ribosomal RNA, 700 nt
Filed under: uncultured bacterium
Lineage: Bacteria
Description: bacterial SSU rRNA
Rfam family: Bacterial small subunit ribosomal RNA
Source: RNAcentral
UGGCAGACGGGCGAGUAACACGUGCUUAAUUUGCCUCGGAGCGGGGAACAACGGUUGAAAGGCCGCUAAUUCCCCAUACGAUCCUAGAAAUGAAAAUACUAGGAUGAAAGGUUUACCACUCCGAGAGAAGAGCGCGGCCUAUUAGGUAGUUGGUGAGGUAAUGGCUCACCAAGCCGAUGAUGGGUAGCUGGUCUGAGAGGAUGACCAGCCGCAAUGGGACUGAGACACGGCCCAUACCCCUACGGGGGGCAGCAGUGGGGAAUAUUGGACAAUGGAGGAAACUCUGAUCCAGCGACUCCGCGUGGAGGAUGACGCAUUACGGUGUGUAAACUCCUUUUUUGGAGGAAGACGACUGACGGUACUCCAAGAAUAAGCGACGGCUAACUACGUGCCAGCAGCCGCGGUAAUACGUAGGUCGCAAGCGUUAUCCGGAUUUACUGGGCGUAAAGCGUCCGCAGCCUGUUUUGUAAGUCUAUUUUUAAAUACCGGAGCUCAACUUCGGAAAGGGAAUAGAUACUGCAUUACUAGAGUACUUUAGAGGUAAGUAGAAUUUCCGGUGGAGGGGUGAAAUCCGUUGAUAUCGGAAGGAAUGCCAAAAGCGAAAGCAGCUUACUAUAAUUUUACUGACGGUCCUGGACGACAGUAUGGGUAGCAAACGGGAUUAGAUACCCCGGUAGUCCAUACCGUAAAUUAUGCUCGC